Molecule: ribosomal RNA, 488 nt
Filed under: uncultured bacterium
Lineage: Bacteria
Description: partial 16S ribosomal RNA
Rfam family: Bacterial small subunit ribosomal RNA
Source: RNAcentral
GACGAACGCUGGCGGCGUGCCUAAUACAUGCAAGUCGAACGGAAAGGCCCUGCUCUUGCGGGGUGCUCGAUUGGCGAAGGGGGGAGUAACACGCGAGUAACCCGCCCCUGACUUUGGGAUAAAUUCAGGAAAAUGGGGCUAAUACCGGAUAGAAGAUACUGCAGCAUGGGGGGGGUUGGUAAGAUUCGGUGGUUGGGGAUGGACUGGGGGCUUAUCCGCUUGGUGGUGGGGUCGGGGCUUACACAGGCUUCGACGGGUAGCCGACCUGAGCGGGGGAUCGGCCGCACGGGAGCUGAGACACGGUCCAGAGUCCUACGGGAGGCAGCAGUAGGGAAUCUUCCGCAGUGGGCGGAAGCUGGACGGAGCAGCGCCGCGUGAGUGAUGAAGGUCUUCGGAUCGGAAAGCUCUGUUAUUAGGGAAGAACAAAUGUGUAAGUAACUAUGCACGUCUUGACGGUACCGAAUCAGAAAGCCACGGCUAACUACGUG